RNAcentral lists this ribosomal RNA (392 nucleotides) under uncultured bacterium. RNAcentral's name for it is "partial 16S ribosomal RNA". It matches the Rfam family "Bacterial small subunit ribosomal RNA", at positions 505 to 898 of the family's 1533-position model. The record is from RNAcentral.
GUGUCAGCAGCCGCGGUAAUACGAAGGGGGCUAGCGUUGUUCGGAAUUACUGGGCGUAAAGGGCGCGCGGGCGGCUUUGCAAGUUAGGCGUGAAAGGCCUGGGCUUAACCUGGGAAUGGCGCUUAAGACUGCGGAGCUUGAGGGUGGGAGGGGAUGGUGGAAUUCCCAGUGUAGAGGUGAAAUUCGUAGAUAUUGGGAAGAACACCGAUGGCGAAGGCGGCCAUCUGGACCACAUCUGACGCUGAGGCGCGAAAGCGUGGGGAGCAAACAGGAUUAGAUACCCUGGUAGUCCACGCUGUAAACGAUGCGUGCUAGACGCUGGAGGGUUGCCUUUCGGUGUCGCAGCUAACGCUUUAAGCACGCCGCCUGGGGAGUACGGUCGCAAGAUUAAA